Long non-coding RNA from Zophobas morio, 668 nucleotides. RefSeq lists it as uncharacterized. NCBI's taxonomy places the organism in Eukaryota, Metazoa, Arthropoda, Insecta, Coleoptera, Tenebrionidae. The transcript is spliced from 3 exons. The record is from RefSeq and is a predicted model, not a curated record.
AAGUAUCGAUAAAAUAUCGAAGAGGCGACGAGAGGACACGUAUUGGAAGGGUGUCUGCGUUAAAACUUGUUUUUGUUGGUUAAGGGAAAAGGAUGCCUGAGUACGAACGACUGGAAGGAGAAGGUGGCUGUGGGGCGUCAUGGAGGGCACUCACGUCCUUGGAGAAGAAGUUGAUGUUUCUGAGUAUUCUUUUGGGGAUCGUUGUGUUUGCGCUAACCUUGGCCCUAGCGACUCAUAAGUGUCCAGGGCCGGCACCCAUAACUACCACUUCACCAGUGACUCCCACCACCCCAAAAUCUUCAUCUUCGUCAGGCCCUACGACCACAGCAUCUUCAUCUUCUUCAAGCCCUACGACCACAGCAUCUUCAUCUUCUUCAGGCCCUACGACCACAGCAUCUUCAUCUUCUUCAGGCCCUACGACCACAGCAUCUUCAACUUCUUCAACGAGUUCUUCGUCUCCAACGGUACCGACGACUCAGAGUACUUCAUCUUCCACCAGUGGUGUUUCUUCUACGCAAGAGUCAUCGUCUGCGUCUACGGAUUCCAGGUCUUCCUCUUCAACACAAUGAGGGUCUAAAUGUUACAUCAUAAUUUCACGUAUCGCGAUUUAUACAAAAUGUGUUAAUCAAUUUUUUAAUAAAACCUCCGACAGUGUCUGAGAACACCAA